UUGAGGAGAUAAAAAAAUUAAUUUCAUAUUAAUCCCUACAAAUAUAAUAAAUGACAAAUAUAUUUUUUUUAAAGUUCAACUUUCAUAUAUUAUUUCUGUAAAAAUUCUAAUAUUUUUAAAUAUGUCUUUCUAUUUUGCUACCGUUAGAGCACUAUUUAUAUUUUCAAUUUCAUCAUUAUAGAUAUACCCUUUAAAAAUCAUAACAGUAUAAAUAUAAGAGGGAUAAAAAUAUCAAAAAUUAAUCACAAUAAAAUAUUUAAUUUAUGGUUAACUAAAUUUUUCUAACAAAUUCUAACGAUAUGUCCUUUAAAAAUAUCAUCACUUUUAUAAAAAAUAUUAUAUAAAAGUUUAACUUUGUAAGGAUCUAUAUAAAAUUAAUCCUAAAAAAAAAAAGA
This 395-nucleotide long non-coding RNA is filed under the name Ananas comosus (pineapple). RNAcentral describes it as "long non-coding RNA (ACOM_LNC009803)". Lineage: Eukaryota; Viridiplantae; Streptophyta; Magnoliopsida; Poales; Bromeliaceae. The record is from RNAcentral.